RNAcentral lists this transfer RNA (74 nucleotides) under Streptococcus uberis. Its description in RNAcentral is "tRNA-Ile". The record is from RNAcentral. Lineage: Bacteria; Bacillati; Bacillota; Bacilli; Lactobacillales; Streptococcaceae.
CGCGGGAUGGAGCAGCUAGGCAGCUCGUAGGGCUAAUAAUCCUACGGUCGUAGGAUCAGAUCCUGCACCCGCAA